AGAUUGAACGCUGGCGGCAGGCCUAACACAUGCAAGUCGAGCGGUAGAGAGGUGCUUGCACCUCUUGAGAGCGGCGGACGGGUGAGUAAUGCCUAGGAAUCUGCCUAGUGGUGGGGGAUAACGUUCGGAAACGGACGCUAAUACCGCAUACGUCCUACGGGAGAAAGCGGGGGACCUUCGGGCCUCGCGCCAUUAGAUGAGCCUAGGUCGGAUUAGCUAGUUGGUGAGGUAAUGGCUCACCAAGGCGACGAUCCGUAACUGGUCUGAGAGGAUGAUCAGUCACACUGGAACUGAGACACGGUCCAGACUCCUACGGGAGCAGCAGUGGGAAUAGUUGGACAAGUGGGACGAAAGCCUGAUCCAAGCCAUGCCGCGUGUGUGAAGAGUCUUCGGAUUAGUAAAGCUACGUUUAAGUUGGGAAGGUAAGGUUUCGUAACCUAAUACGUUGACUAACUUUUGAACCGUUACCGACUAAGAACUUAACGCAACCGGUCUUAAACGUUCCGUAGUACCGAG
RNAcentral lists this ribosomal RNA (516 nucleotides) under uncultured soil bacterium. RNAcentral's name for it is "bacterial SSU rRNA". It matches the Rfam family "Bacterial small subunit ribosomal RNA", at positions 26 to 538 of the family's 1533-position model. The record is from RNAcentral.